Molecule: ribosomal RNA, 473 nt
Filed under: uncultured bacterium
Lineage: Bacteria
Description: bacterial SSU rRNA
Rfam family: Bacterial small subunit ribosomal RNA
Source: RNAcentral
UAGGGAAUUUUGGGCAAUGGGCGAAAGCCUGACCCAGCAACGCCGCGUGUGGGAUGAAGGCCCUCGGGUCGUAAACCACUGUCAGGAGGAAAGAAAAGUCGGCCGGAUAAUACUCGGUCGACCUGACGGUACCUCCAAAGGAAGCACCGGCUAACUCCGUGCCAGCAGCCGCGGUAAUACGUAGGGACCAAGCGUUGUUCGGAUUUACUGGGCGUAAAGGGCGCGUAGGCGGUGUGUCAAGUCAGUUGUGAAAUCUCCGAGCUUAACUCGGAACGGUCAACUGAUACUGUCACACUAGAGUACAGAAGGGGCAAUCGGAAUUCUUGGUGUAGCGGUGAAAUGCGUAGAUAUCAAGAGGAACACCUGAGGCGAAGGCGGGUUGCUGGGCUGAUACUGACGCUGAGGCGCGAAAGCUAGGGUAGCAAACGGGAUUAGAUACCCAAGUAGUCCCUGAGCGGGCUGGCAAGGCGCAU